Molecule: long non-coding RNA, 422 nt
Organism: Planococcus citri (citrus mealybug)
Lineage: Eukaryota; Metazoa; Arthropoda; Insecta; Hemiptera; Pseudococcidae
Exons: 2
Source: RefSeq, a predicted model, not a curated record
UUUUCGCAGAAACAUUUUUCAAACGUAAAUAGCAUGUCAAUUCGCGAAAUCAAAUUAGAACGCGAACAUCUCUUCAACGCUAGCCAUAACUAUUUUUAGUGCAAUUUUUUUUAAACUAAAAUUGUCAAGCCGUAUCAAAGUGUUUUUUAAAGGUGAGUACGUCAAAAGAAGCGGAAAUCUAUCUAUUUUCAUUUGCCACUGUUGAAUAAUAUUUUUUUUUAAAUUUGACAAAAGCACCAGUAACACUUUUGUCGAGGUACCUCGAUUGGCGGAAUUACUCUAACUUGGCAGAAGAAUGAUCUUGUGGAAAUAUACAGUAUUUUUCGAGAGCCAGCCGCUCGCCUGCGCAUAGGGGUGUCGUCAAAUUGUGUUGUACCUAAGAUGUAUUGUACCAAUAAUGUUGAAUAAAUUUAUUUAUUUAU